Molecule: long non-coding RNA, 110 nt
Organism: Etheostoma cragini (Arkansas darter)
Lineage: Eukaryota; Metazoa; Chordata; Actinopteri; Perciformes; Percidae
Exons: 3
Source: RefSeq, a predicted model, not a curated record
UGUGUUGCAUUUACAGAGGGAGCCUAACCUGUCAGCUGUGUUGUCGAUGCCUCGAGAGAACAAAGGAAGUGACUCAGAGCUUGCCGUAAAGCGCAGUAUCUCUGGCCGAU